UACGUAGGGGCCAAGCGUUGUCCGGAUUUAUUGGGCGUAAAGAGCUCGUAGGCGGUUUGUCGCGUCUGCUGUGAAAUCCCGAGGCUCAACCUCGGGCCUGCAGUGGGUACGGGCAGACUGGAGUGCGGUAGGGGAGAAUGGAAUUCCUGGUGUAGCGGUGGAAUGCGCAGAUAUCAGGAGGAACACCGAUGGCGAAGGCAGUUCUCUGGGCCGUAACUGACGCUGAGGAGCGAAAGCGUGGGGAGCGAACAGG
This 253-nucleotide ribosomal RNA is filed under the name uncultured bacterium. RNAcentral describes it as "partial 16S ribosomal RNA". It matches the Rfam family "Bacterial small subunit ribosomal RNA", at positions 524 to 776 of the family's 1533-position model. The record is from RNAcentral.